RNAcentral lists this ribosomal RNA (310 nucleotides) under uncultured bacterium. RNAcentral's name for it is "bacterial SSU rRNA". It matches the Rfam family "Bacterial small subunit ribosomal RNA", at positions 29 to 333 of the family's 1533-position model. The record is from RNAcentral.
AACGAACGCUGGCGGCAGGCCUAACACAUGCAAGUCGAGCGCCCCCUUCAGUGCUCAGCGAUUGAAGCUGAGUACUGAUGGGGGAGCGGCGGACGGGUGAGUAACGCGUGGGAAUUUUCCUCAAAGGUACGGAACAACUCAGGGAAACUUGGGCUAAUACCGUAUGAUGCAGAGAUGCCAAAAGAUUUAUCGCCUUGGGAUAAGCCCGCGUCAGGAUUAGGUAGUUCGGUGGGGAAAUGGCCUACCAAGCCUGCGAUCUGUAGCUGGUCUGAGAGGACGAUCAGCCACACUGGGACUGAGACACGGCCCA